This 907-nucleotide ribosomal RNA is filed under the name uncultured bacterium. RNAcentral's name for it is "bacterial SSU rRNA". It matches the Rfam family "Bacterial small subunit ribosomal RNA", at positions 8 to 916 of the family's 1533-position model. The record is from RNAcentral.
AGAGUUUGAUCAUGGCUCAGGACGAACGCUGGCGGCGUGCUUAACACAUGCAAGUCGAACGGAGGUUACUUUGAAACGCAAGUAGAUAGGUAACCUUAGUGGCGGACGGGUGAGUAACGCGUGGAUAACCUGCCUGAAUGACCGGGACAACACCGGGAAACUGGUGCUAAUACCGGAUACGCUCUUUAGAGCACAUGCUUUUGAGAGGAAAGGAGCAAUCCGCAUACAGAUGGGUCCGCGUCCCAUUAGCUAGUUGGGGGUGUAAGAGACCACCAAGGCGACGAUGGGUAGCCGGCCUGAGAGGGUGGACGGCCACACUGGAACUGAGACACGGUCCAGACUCCUACGGGAGGCAGCAGUGGGGAAUCUUCCGCAAUGGGCGCAAGCCUGACGGAGCAACGCCGCGUGAGUGAAGAAGGCCUUCGGGUUGUAAAGCUCUGUCUUCAGGGAAGAAAAAAAUGACGGUACCUGAGGAGGAAGCCCCGGCUAACUACGUGCCAGCAGCCGCGGUAAAACGCAGGGGGCGAGCGUUGUCCGGAAUUACUGGGCGUAAAGGGCGCGUAGGCGGUCAUUUAAGUCAGAGGUGAAAACUACCGGCUUAACCGGUAGCCUGCCUUUGAAACUGGGUGACUUGAGGGCAGGAGAGGGGAGUGGAAUUCCCAGUGUAGCGGUGAAAUGCGUAGAUAUUGGGAGGAACACCAGUGGCGAAAGCGGCUCUCUGGCCUGUUUCUGACGCUGAGGCGCGAAAGCGUGGGGAGCGAACGGGAUUAGAUACCCCGGUAGUCCACGCCGUAAACGAUGGGUGCUAGGUGUAGGAGGUAUCGACCCCUUCUGUGCCGUAGUUAACACAAUAAGCACCCCGCCUGGGGAGUACGGCCGCAAGGUUGAAACUCAAAUGAAUUGACGG